RNAcentral lists this long non-coding RNA (948 nucleotides) under Homo sapiens (human). Its description in RNAcentral is "HSALNT0359235". Lineage: Eukaryota; Metazoa; Chordata; Mammalia; Primates; Hominidae. The record is from RNAcentral.
AAAUGCUCUAAAGUGCAAAACUUUUUGGGCAUCAACAUGACUUUUAAAAGAAAUGCUCAUUGGAGCAUUUUGAAUUUCAAAUUUUCAGAUUAGUGAUGCUCAGCUAGUAAUAUUACUGUAAAUAUUCCAAAAUCUGAAAAAGUCUGAAACAUCUCUGGUCUCAAGCAUUUCAGAUAAGGGACACUCGAUCUACCAACAAAGGAGAGAGCCCCUUGAAAAGGGCACUCUGAAUCACUCUUCUGGUGAAGAUCUCUGGGAGUUACAUGCAAGCGGUGGGCCUGGGCCCAUUUCCACAUCCCACAAAGAGUGCAUUUACUUUGUGUAUCCAGAAGAGCAAAACUCCCAACUCUACUGCUUUGUUUUCAAACGGACAGCCAAGCAUUCGAUGUCUUCAGCUUCACUCUCUACUUUGUGCUUGGGUUCCAUUUCUGGUUCAUAUAGUCAAGGUUUAUUGAGCACAAUAUGAUGGUGUAGGCAUCUUUGGAGAUAUGCUAUCUGCAGGUUCAGCUUUGGAGAUUCAGAAGUGACAUGCACAUGCCUCUGACACUCUCAUGGAGUUCACAGUUGGAGAAGUCACCAGAAUGGAACCUUUUUGUUAAGCUUUCCCUUUACCUCAGAUAGACAGCUGUCCUUGACAAACACAAAGUCAGUCUUGGCUGUCUCAGAAAAGCACUGUGUGUCAAUGUCAGAGAGCCCAGUGGGCCUAGCAUAAGGUUCACAACAUUUCUAACUCUUCAAAUCAAGUAUUAUUUUGGAAGUUGCCAACUUAACAAGCAACUUUGACUCCAUGCAAACUAAAAAUGGCAUUUGAAAGUUGAAAUUUCAUUAAAUCUGCUGUUUUCUGAGACUUCAUCCAACUGGGACAUCUGUUUGUAACACCAAAGGGGUAUGUAAUCCCAAAAUUAUGAUUGGAUUAUAUUCAAGUCAUUAAAAAAGAUGAAUUCAUGA